GCCUAGCCCUAAACAUUGGCAACACCCUACAUCUGUUGCCCGCCAGGAAACUACGAGCAUUAGCUUAAAACCCAAAGGACUUGGCGGUGCUUUAGAUCCACCUAGAGGAGCCUGUUCUAGAACCGAUAACCCCCGUUCAACCUCACCCUUCCUUGUUAGACCCGCCUAUAUACCACCGUCGUCAGCUUACCCUGUGAAGGCCCCAUAGUAAGCAUAAUUGGCACAGCCCAGAACGUCAGGUCGAGGUGUAGCGUAUGGAGGGGGAAGAAAUGGGCUACAUUCUUUAACAGAAAGAAUACGAAUGAUUGACUGAAAUGUCUUUCCGAAGGAGGAUUUAGCAGUAAGCAAGAAAUAGAGAGUCCUGCUGAAAUUGGCUCUGAAGCGCGC
Molecule: ribosomal RNA, 387 nt
Filed under: Lepomis gibbosus (pumpkinseed sunfish)
Lineage: Eukaryota; Metazoa; Chordata; Actinopteri; Centrarchiformes; Centrarchidae
Description: partial small subunit ribosomal RNA
Rfam family: Bacterial small subunit ribosomal RNA
Source: RNAcentral